Molecule: ribosomal RNA, 423 nt
Filed under: uncultured bacterium
Lineage: Bacteria
Description: bacterial SSU rRNA
Rfam family: Bacterial small subunit ribosomal RNA
Source: RNAcentral
UAACGAAUCUUCCGCAAUGCACGAAAGUGUGACGGAGCGACGCCGCGUGGAGGAGAAGUUCUUCGGAAUGUAAACUCCUGUCAUGAGAAAGAAAGUUCUGAUCUACUCAAGAGGAAGGGACGGCUAACUCUGUGCCAGCAGCCGCGGUAAGACAGAGGUCCCGAGCGUUAGGCGGAAUCACUGGGCUUAAAGCGUGUGUAGGCGGAUCUGUAAGUACCUUGUGAAAUCCCACGGCUCAACCGUGGAACUGCUUGGUAUACUGCGGAUCUUGAGGUACUUAGGGGCAACUGGAACAAAUGGUGGAGCGGUGAAAUGCGUAGAUAUCAUUUGGAACGCCAAUGGUGAAAACAAGUUGCUGGGAGUAUUCUGACGCUGAGACACGAAAGCCAGGGGAGCAAACGGGAUUAGAUACCCCUGUAGUCC